RNAcentral lists this ribosomal RNA (392 nucleotides) under uncultured bacterium. RNAcentral's name for it is "bacterial SSU rRNA". It matches the Rfam family "Bacterial small subunit ribosomal RNA", at positions 28 to 402 of the family's 1533-position model. The record is from RNAcentral.
GACGAACGCUGGCGGCGUGCUUAACACAUGCAAGUCGAACGAGAAUACUUAGACAGAAGCCUUCGGGUGGAAGACUUUGUAUUCGAGUGGCGGACGGGUGAGUAACGCGUGAGUAACCUGCCUUGAAGAGGGGAAUAACAGCGAGAAAUCGUUGCUAAUACCGCAUAAGACUACAGGAUCGCAUGAUCUAGGAGUCAAAAGAUUUAUCGCUUCAAGAUGGACUCGCGUCCCAUUAGCUAGUUGGUAGGGUAAUGGCUACCAAGGCGACGAUCAGUAGCCGACUUGAGAGAGUGAUCGGCCACAUUGGGACUGAGACACGGCCCAAACUCCUACGGAGGCAGCAGUGGGGAAUAUUGCACAAUGGGGGAAACCCUGAUGCAGCAACGCCGCGU